This 755-nucleotide long non-coding RNA is filed under the name Pan troglodytes (chimpanzee). Its description in RNAcentral is "long non-coding RNA NONPTRT001970". The record is from RNAcentral. Lineage: Eukaryota; Metazoa; Chordata; Mammalia; Primates; Hominidae.
CUGGGCCUGGGCAGGAGGAGCUGGGCCGGGUGCCAGAUACUGGGAUCAGCCACUGCAGCUCCCUGAGCACUCUCUACACAGAGACGCGGACCCCAGACAUGAGGAGGCUCCUCCUGGUCACCAGCCUGGUGGCUGUGCUGCUGUGGGAGGCAGGUGCGGCCCCAGCACCCAAGGUCCCUAUCAAGAUGCAAGUCAAACACCGGCCCUCAGAGCAGGACCCAGAGAAGUAAGUCCCCCCAACCCCACCUCCCCACCACCCAUUCCCUGAAGCUACAGCCCAUUCUGCUGGGCCCUUCCUGAACCUGGAGAGCACGGGGCAGAUGCAGAGAGGAGCCCUGUCCAGCAGCUUUCAGAUGGAGGGGGCACUCCAGCCUCAUGGGGAUCUGUCAACAGCGCCCCAUGCAGGGAGAAGAGAGCACAGCCGGAGGGCUUGGGGCUCCACGGCGUCUCCCUACUCAGCUUCCCCACAGCCUCCAGGGCAGCUUGUGCUCCACGGCUGGUGGCUGUAGCUGUGGCGGCUCAGUCUUGGAUCCUGAGGUUUCCCCACAUCCUUGCCCUUGGGACGCUGCUCAACCAAGGCUCUGACCACUGCCCCCCACGCAGCCGCCCAGGGACAUGGUGUGGAAGCCUGGCCGGGAGCACUGGGGGCCACUCAUCUCUGUGGCUCUUGAGAGAGAGGCUUGUCCUGGGGCUGCUGGUGGUGGGGCUGGAGUGGCUGCCCUGGGAUGGUGGGCACCCUCCUGCGGGGGGUUCUG